AGAGUUUGAUCCUGGCUCAGGAUAAACGCUGGCGGCGCACAUAAGACAUGCAAGUCGAACGGAAGUCGUUACGAAAUGGAAUGAAGAUUUAUCUGAUUGAAGUUUUGUAACAAUGGCUUUAGUGGCGGACUGGUGAGUAACACGUAAGCAAUCUACCUAUUAGAGGGGAAUAACAAUGAGAAAUCAUUGCUAAUACCGCAUAAGCUUGUAGUACCGCAUGGUACAGCAAGAAAAGGAGCAAUCCGCUAAUAGAUGAGCUUGCGGCUGAUUAGCUAGUUGGUGUGGUAACGGCAUACCAAGGCAACGAUCAGUAGCCGGGCUGAGAGGCUCUUCGGCCACAUUGGGACUGAGAUACGGCCCAGACUCCUACGGGAGGCAGCAGUCGGGAAUUUUGCGCAAUGGAGGAAACUCUGACGCAGUGACGCCGCGUAUAGGAAGAAGGUUUUCGGAUUGUAAACUAUUUUAGUCAGGGAAGAAAAAUGACAGUACCUGAAGAAUAAGCUCCGGCUAACUACGUGCCAGCAGCCGCGGUAAUACGUAGGGAGCAAGCGUUAUCCGGAUUUAUUGGGUGUAAAGGGUGCGUAGACGGGAAGACAAGUUGGUUGUGAAAGCCCUCGGCUCAACUGAGGAACUGCAACCAAAACUAUCAUUCUUGAGUGCGGGAGAGGAAAGUGGAAUUCCUAGUGUAGCGGUGAAAUGCGUAGAUAUUAGGAGGAACACCAGUGGCGAAGGCGACUUUCUGGACCGUAACUGACGUUGAGGCACGAAAGUGUGGGGAGCAAACAGGAUUAGAUACCCUGGUAGUCCACACCGUAAACGAUGGAUACUAGGUGUAGGGAACGAUAUGUUUUCUGUGCCGAAAGCAAACGCAAUAAGUAUCCCACCUGGGGAGUACGGCCGCAAGGUUGAAACUCAAAGGAAU
RNAcentral lists this ribosomal RNA (922 nucleotides) under human gut metagenome. Its description in RNAcentral is "bacterial SSU rRNA". It matches the Rfam family "Bacterial small subunit ribosomal RNA", at positions 8 to 910 of the family's 1533-position model. The record is from RNAcentral.